RNAcentral lists this ribosomal RNA (478 nucleotides) under uncultured bacterium. RNAcentral's name for it is "partial 16S ribosomal RNA". It matches the Rfam family "Bacterial small subunit ribosomal RNA", at positions 28 to 507 of the family's 1533-position model. The record is from RNAcentral.
GAUGAACGCUGGCGGCGUGCUUAACACAUGCAAGUCGAACGAGAAGUGAAGACGGAAACCUUCGGGCGGAAGGCUUUAUUUCGAGUGGCGGACGGGUGAGUAACGCGUGGGUAACCUGCCUCAUACAGGGGGAUAACAGUUGGAAACGACUGUUAAUACCUCAUAAGACCACAGCACCGCAUGGUGCGGGGGUAAAAACUCCGGUGGUAUGAGAUGGACCCGCGUUCGAUUAGCCAGUUGGCGGGGUAACGGCCCACCAAAGCGACGAUCGAUAGCCGAUCUGAGAGGAUGACCGGCCACAUUGGGACUGAGACACGGCCCAAACUCCUACGGGAGGCAGCAGUGGGGAAUAUUGCACAAUGGGGGAAACCCUGAUGCAGCGACGCCGCGUGAGUGAAGAAGUAUUUCGGUAUGUAAAGCUCUAUCAGCAGGGAAGAAAAUGACGGUACCUGAGUAAGAAGCCCCGGCUAACUACGUG